GCUUGUCUCAAAGAUUAAGCCAUGCAUGUCUAAGAAUAAACCCCAGAAUGGUGAAUCUGCGAAUGGCUCAUUAAAUCAGUUAUUGUUUAUUUGAUGGUACCUUACUACAUGGAUAACCGUAGUAAUUCUAGAGCUAAUACAUGCGUCAAGCCCCGACUUCGGAAGGGGUGCAUUUAUUAGAUUCAAACCAUCAGUCCUUUACGGGACUUUUGAUGGCGAGUCAUAAUAACUUUCGGAUCGAUUUAUCGAUGCAUCAUUCAAGUUUCUGCCCUAUCAGCUUUGGAUGGUAGGGUAUUGGCCUACCAUGGCUUUAACGGGUAACGGAGAAUUAGGGUUCGAUUCCGGAGAGGGAGCCUGAGAAAUGGCUACCACAUCCAAGGAAGGCAGCAGG
Molecule: ribosomal RNA, 391 nt
Filed under: uncultured Centroheliozoa
Lineage: Eukaryota; Centroplasthelida
Description: partial small subunit ribosomal RNA
Rfam family: Eukaryotic small subunit ribosomal RNA
Source: RNAcentral